AAAAGAAGUAAGAUCAAAAUAUUUUUCUUUCAAUAAGGCUCAAAGGGGCUAGCAAGGGAUAAUAAUAUUCAAAGGUAGGCUACAAAGGCUCAAGCUCACAAAAACGUGCCUCGGUGCAUUAUUCAUCGCAAUCAAUCAAUCAAGAGAAUUCAAGCAAAUUCUAGAGAAUAGGAGAGACGUGGAACUCACAUAGUCAAGAAAGAAAUUUAAGUGUUUAGGCUCAAGUCCUCACAGUUAGGAUAACAGAGAAGAAUUAGAG
RNAcentral lists this long non-coding RNA (259 nucleotides) under Trifolium pratense (red clover). RNAcentral's name for it is "long non-coding RNA (TPRA_LNC007387)". Lineage: Eukaryota; Viridiplantae; Streptophyta; Magnoliopsida; Fabales; Fabaceae. The record is from RNAcentral.